GAUGAACGCUGGCGGCGUGCCUAAUACAUGCAAGUCGAGCGAACGGACGAGAAGCUUGCUUCUCUGAUGUUAGCGGCGGACGGGUGAGUAACACGUGGAUAACCUACCUAUAAGACUGGGAUAACUUCGGGAAACCGGAGCUAAUACCGGAUGAUAUUUUGAACCGCAUGGUUCAAAAGUGAAAGACGGUCUUGCUGUCACUUAUAGAUGGAUCCGCGCUGCAUUAGCUAGUUGGUAAGGUAACGGCUUACCAAGGCAACGAUGCAUAGCCGACCUGAGAGGGUGAUCGGCCACACUGGAACUGAGACACGGUCCAGACUCCUACGGGAGGCAGCAGUAGGGAAUCUUCCGCAAUGGGCGAAAGCCUGACGGAGCAACGCCGCGUGAGUGAUGAAGGUCUUCGGAUCGUAAAACUCUGUUAUUAGGGAAGAGCAUAUGUGUAAGUAACUGUGCACAUCUUGACGGUACCUAAUCAGAAAACCACGGCUAACUACGU
RNAcentral lists this ribosomal RNA (496 nucleotides) under uncultured bacterium. RNAcentral's name for it is "partial 16S ribosomal RNA". It matches the Rfam family "Bacterial small subunit ribosomal RNA", at positions 28 to 506 of the family's 1533-position model. The record is from RNAcentral.